This 163-nucleotide ribosomal RNA is filed under the name Draba alyssoides. RNAcentral describes it as "5.8S ribosomal RNA". The stretch from base 1 to 79 matches the Rfam family "5.8S ribosomal RNA", at positions 78 to 154 of the family's 154-position model. Lineage: Eukaryota; Viridiplantae; Streptophyta; Magnoliopsida; Brassicales; Brassicaceae. RNAcentral also lists the same sequence under 35 other names. The record is from RNAcentral.
AAUCCCGUGAACCAUCGAGUCUUUGAACGCAAGUUGCGCCCCAAGCCUUCUGGCCGAGGGCACGUCUGCCUGGGUGUCACAAAUCGUCGUCCCCAUCCUUUGCGGAUAAGGGACGGAAGUUGGUCUCCCGUGUGUUACCGCACGCGGUUGGCCUAAAUCUGAG